This 672-nucleotide ribosomal RNA is filed under the name uncultured Bacilli bacterium. RNAcentral's name for it is "bacterial SSU rRNA". It matches the Rfam family "Bacterial small subunit ribosomal RNA", at positions 62 to 722 of the family's 1533-position model. The record is from RNAcentral. Lineage: Bacteria; Bacillati; Bacillota; Bacilli.
UUGCACCUGAUUGAUUUUGGUCGCCAACGAGUGGCGGACGGGUGAGUAACACGUAGGUAACCUGCCCAGAAGCGGGGGACAACAUUUGGAAACAGAUGCUAAUACCGCAUAACAACGUUGUUCGCAUGAACAACGCUUAAAAGAUGGCUUCUUGCUAUCACUUCUGGAUGGACCUGCGGUGCAUUAGCUUGUUGGUGGGGUAACGGCCUACCAAGGCGAUGAUGCAUAGCCGAGUUGAGAGACUGAUCGGCCACAAUGGGACUGAGACACGGCCCAUACUCCUACGGGAGGCAGCAGUAGGGAAUCUUCCACAAUGGGCGCAAGCCUGAUGGAGCAACACCGCGUGAGUGAAGAAGGGUUUCGACUCGUAAAGCUCUGUUGUUAAAGAAGAACACGUAUGAGAGUAACUGUUCAUACGUUGACGGUAUUUAACCAGAAAGUCACGGCUAACUACGUGCCAGCAGCCGCGGUAAUACGUAGGUGGCAAGCGUUAUCCGGAUUUAUUGGGCGUAAAGAGAGUGCAGGCGGUUUUCUAAGUCUGAUGUGAAAGCCUUCGGCUUAACCGGAGAAGUGCAUCGGAAACUGGAUAACUUGAGUGCAGAAGAGGGUAGUGGAACUCCAUGUGUAGCGGUGGAAUGCGUAGAUAUAUGGAAGAACACCAGUGGCGAAGGC